GUCUCACGCUCUGCCGCCUUAAUUAAUCAGAAAUGCCAUGUGAAGAACAAAGACAUCCGAAAGUUUCUUGAUGGAAUCUAUGUGAGUGAGAAGGGAAGCAUCACCGAUGACCAGUAGAUAUUAUGUGUCCCGUUAAAAGCUUAUUUCAGUUCAGAAGAGAUGUUUAAGAGUGUGUUAACUCUUAGCUUUCAUGUUGUCAUCUUUAUAAACAUUCUCAGUGAAAUUUUGUUUUAGUGGUUGGUGAUUUUAUACUAUUUAUGCAGUUCAUCUUUAUCAGUUGAGACAACUACUCUUGUUAAUUAAAUGUGACAAACAUCGAAUUUGAUUUUGUAUCAGUGAUGUCUAUGGCUUUGAUCACUGGAAUGAGCAUUUUGUUGAACAUGCUGCAUUGUUCUUUUGAACA
Long non-coding RNA from Dendrobium catenatum, 403 nucleotides. RefSeq lists it as uncharacterized. NCBI's taxonomy places the organism in Eukaryota, Viridiplantae, Streptophyta, Magnoliopsida, Asparagales, Orchidaceae. The record is from RefSeq and is a predicted model, not a curated record. The transcript has 2 exons.